RNAcentral lists this ribosomal RNA (505 nucleotides) under uncultured bacterium. Its description in RNAcentral is "partial 16S ribosomal RNA". It matches the Rfam family "Bacterial small subunit ribosomal RNA", at positions 28 to 507 of the family's 1533-position model. The record is from RNAcentral.
GACGAACGCUGGCGGCGUGCCUAAUACAUGCAAGUAGAACGCACAGUUUAUACCGUAGCUUGCUACACCAUAGACUGUGAGUUGCGAACGGGUGAGUAACGCGUAGGUAACCUGCCUGGUAGCGGGGGAUAACUAUUGGAAACGAUAGCUAAUACCGCAUAAUAUUAAUUAUUGCAUGAUAAUUGAUUGAAAGAUGCAACUGCAUCACUACCAGAUGGACCUGCGUUGUAUUAGCUAGUAGGUGAGGUAACGGCUCACCUAGGCGACGAUACAUAGCCGACCUGAGAGGGUGAUCGGCCACACUGGGACUGAGACACGGCCCAGACUCCUACGGGAGGCAGCAGUAGGGAAUCUUCGGCAAUGGACGAAAGUCUGACCGAGCAACGCCGCGUGAGUGAAGAAGGUUUUCGGAUCGUAAAGCUCUGUUGUAAGAGAAGAACGGGUGUGAGAGUGGAAAGUUCACACUGUGACGGUAGCUUACCAGAAAGGGACGGCUAACUACGUG